UUUAACUUCACUCCUUUCCCGUAUAUGAAGUCACAUAUUACAAUACUGAUUAAUUGCACAGGCUAAGAAAAAUUACUUUAUUCACAUAUACGAAGUGAAUAUUUGCAAAAGAUGUAUGAGAAUCUGGAGGUAAUUAAUAUAUUGGAGUGGCAGAAUGAACUCCCCAACUUGGAUGAGAAUAUUCGUUUUAACCGAUGGUUACUGUCAUUAACCAUUUGCUAAUAAACUUCUAACCACGUUAUUUGCCUCGUCGAAGGAAUUUAGCUAAAGCUUAAUUAUAGGUUAGCUUGGAGCCAGUUUUACAUUUAGCAGCAUUAAGAGCGACAAUGGAAUCAAGAGAUUCUACCCUCAUCUUCAAAAAAAAAAA
This 367-nucleotide long non-coding RNA is filed under the name Glycine max (soybean). Its description in RNAcentral is "long non-coding RNA (GMAX_LNC003046)". Lineage: Eukaryota; Viridiplantae; Streptophyta; Magnoliopsida; Fabales; Fabaceae. The record is from RNAcentral.